This 492-nucleotide ribosomal RNA is filed under the name uncultured bacterium. RNAcentral describes it as "bacterial SSU rRNA". It matches the Rfam family "Bacterial small subunit ribosomal RNA", at positions 28 to 507 of the family's 1533-position model. The record is from RNAcentral.
GAUGAACGCUAGCGACAGGCCUAACACAUGCAAGUCGAGGGGCAGCGCGGAGGUAGCAAUACUUCUGGCGGCGACCGGCGCACGGGUGAGUAACACGUAUGCAAUCUGCCUGUAACAGGGGGAUAACCCGGAGAAAUCCGGCCUAAUACCCCAUAACGACGAGAUCUCGCAUGGGGAUUCGUCUAAAGAGAGCAAUCUUGGUUACAGAUGAGCAUGCGGUCCAUUAGCCAGUUGGCGGGGUAACGGCCCACCAAAGCGACGAUGGAUAGGGGUUCUGAGAGGAAGGUCCCCCACAUUGGAACUGAGACACGGUCCAAACUCCUACGGGAGGCAGCAGUGAGGAAUAUUGGUCAAUGGUCGGCAGACUGAACCAGCCAAGUCGCGUGAAGGAAGACGGCCCUAAGGGUUGUAAACUUCUUUUGUCGGAGAGUAAAGGUCUUCACGAGUGGAGAUUUGCAAGUAUCCGAAGAAAAAGCAUCGGCUAACUCCGUG